CAGCCGCCGCGGUAAUACGAAGGGUGCAAGCGUUACUCGGAAUUACUGGGCGUAAAGCGUGCGUAGGUGGUGGUUUAAGUCCGUUGUGAAAGCCCUGGGCUCAACCUGGGAAUUGCAGUGGAUACUGGGUCACUAGAGUGUGGUAGAGGAUAGUGGAAUUUCCGGUGUAGCAGUGAAAUGCGUAGAGAUCGGAAGGAACAUCUGUGGCGAAGGCGACUAUCUGGGCCAACACUGACACUGAGGCACGAAAGCGUGGGGAGCAAACAGGAUUAGAGACCCCCGUAGUCCCUGUCUCUUAUAA
Molecule: ribosomal RNA, 301 nt
Filed under: uncultured bacterium
Lineage: Bacteria
Description: partial 16S ribosomal RNA
Rfam family: Bacterial small subunit ribosomal RNA
Source: RNAcentral